This 402-nucleotide ribosomal RNA is filed under the name uncultured bacterium. Its description in RNAcentral is "bacterial SSU rRNA". It matches the Rfam family "Bacterial small subunit ribosomal RNA", at positions 355 to 774 of the family's 1533-position model. The record is from RNAcentral.
UGGGGAAUAUUGGACAAUGGGCGCAAGCCUGAUCCAGCCAUGCCGCGUGAGUGAUGACGGCCUUAGGGUUGUAAAGCUCUUUCGCACGCGACGAUAAUGACGGUAGCGUGAGAAGAAGCCCCGGCUAACUUCGUGCCAGCAGCCGCGGUAAUACGAAGGGGGCUAGCGUUGUUCGGAUUAACUGGGCGUAAAGGGUGCGUAGGCGGAUUUUUAAGUCAGGGGUGAAAUCCCAAGGCUCAACCUUGGAACGGCCUUUGAUACUGGGGAUCUUGAGUCCGGGAGAGGUGAGUGGAACUGCGAGUGUAGAGGUGAAAUUCGUAGAUAUUCGCAAGAACACCAGUGGCGAAGGCGGCUCACUGGCCCGGAACUGACGCUGAGGCACGAAAGCGUGGGGAGCAAACA